Molecule: ribosomal RNA, 525 nt
Filed under: uncultured bacterium
Lineage: Bacteria
Description: bacterial SSU rRNA
Rfam family: Bacterial small subunit ribosomal RNA
Source: RNAcentral
UAAGGGAUAUUGCGCAAUGGGCGAAAGCCUGACGCAGCAACGCCGCGUGCCCGAGGAAGGCCUUCGGGUCGUAAAGGGCUUUUACGAAAGAAGAGAGCGGACGGUAAUUCGUGAAGAAGUGUCGGCUAACUACGUGCCAGCAGCCGCGGUAAAACGUAGGACGCGAGCGUUAUCCGGAGUUACUGGGCGUAAAGAGCGGGUAGGCGGUCGGUCAAGUCGGAUGUGAAAUCUCCCUGGCUCAACCGGGAGGGGGCAUACGAAACUGACGGGCUGGAGACCAGCAGAGGGACGUGGAAUUCCGGGUGGAGUGGUGAAAUGCGUAGAGAUCCGGAGGAACACCAGAGGCGAAAGCGGCGUCCUGGGCUGGGGCUGACGCUGAACCGCGAAAGCCAGGGGAGCGAACGGGAUUAGAAACCCCGGUAGUCCUGGCUGUAAACGAUGCCAACUGGGCGUGGGUGCGGGAAGGCAUCUGCGUCGGAGCGAACGCGGUAAGUUGGCCGCCUGAGGAGUACGACCGCAAGGUUA